This 487-nucleotide long non-coding RNA is filed under the name Homo sapiens (human). RNAcentral's name for it is "HSALNT0106165". The record is from RNAcentral. Lineage: Eukaryota; Metazoa; Chordata; Mammalia; Primates; Hominidae.
CACACACACACACAUACACAGGCAUGAGCCAUGAUGCCCAGCUUGCAAGUGGCAUUUUAAAACACGCAGAUCUGGCCGGGCAUGGUGGCUCGUGCCUGUAAUCCCAAUACUUUGGGAGGCCGAGGUAGGCAGAUUGCUUGAGUCCAGAAGUUCGAGACCAGCCUGAGUGACAUGAUGAAACCCCGCCUCCACCAAAAAUACAAAAAUUAGCUGGGCAUGAUGGCACACACGUGUAGUCCCAGCUACUCAGGAGGCUGAGGUGGGAGGAUUGCUUGAGCCCAGGAGGCGGAGCUUGCAGUGAGCUGAGAUUGUGUCACUGCACUCCAGCCUGGGUGACAGAGUGAGACUCUGUCUCAAAACAACAAUAACAACAACAACAACAACGACAAAAACAACACAGAUGGCUGGGCGUGGUGGCUCACAUCUGUAAUCCCAGCACUUUGGGAGGCCAAGGCAUGAGCCACGGCGCCCAGCUGGCUAUUGUGUU